AAGUCAUCCCUCGGGGAUUCUCGAGCUGAAAGAAGUUCCUCAGAUGUAUCCCAGCGGAAUGCAGACGAUCCCGUCGCAUGGCAGGAGAACCGAAAUCAACAAAGCCGGGUGCUUAUUGUUCUAAGUCAGCUCCGUGAUCCCAUCUUAUCAACACCUGACAAGUAUGGCGAAGCCUCCUUACUGAGCGAUAAACGUCACAGGAGGAGGCCGUCACUCCAGC
Long non-coding RNA from Haliotis rufescens (red abalone), 220 nucleotides. RefSeq lists it as uncharacterized. The record is from RefSeq and is a predicted model, not a curated record. NCBI's taxonomy places the organism in Eukaryota, Metazoa, Mollusca, Gastropoda, Lepetellida, Haliotidae. The transcript has 3 exons.